CUGAAGGCGGCUGUGCCCGAAAGGGAACUGGAACACAGGUGCUGCAUGGCUGUCGUCAGCUCGUGUCGUGAGAUGUUGGGUUAAGUCCCGCAACGAGCGCAACCCUUGUCAUUAGUUACUACAUUCAGUUGGGCACUCUAAUGAGACUGCCGGUGACAAACCGGAGGAAGGUGGGGAUGACGUCAAGUCCUCAUGGCCCUUAUGGGUAGGGCUUCACACGUAAUACAAUGGCGCGUACAGAGGGUUGCCAAGGAGCGAUCUGGAGCCAAUCCCGUAAAGCGCGUCGUAGUCCGGAUUGCAGUCUGCAACUCGACUGCAUGAAGUCGGAAUCGCUAGUAAUCGCGGAUCAGCAUGUCGCGGUGAAUACGUUCCCGGGUCUUGUACACACCGCCCGUCACACCAUGGGAGUGGGUUUCACCAGAAGCCGGUCGCCUAACCGCAAGGAGGGCGCCGACCACGGUGAGAUUCAUGACUGGGGUGAAGUCGUAACAAGGUAACCGUAA
Molecule: ribosomal RNA, 503 nt
Filed under: uncultured beta proteobacterium
Lineage: Bacteria; Pseudomonadati; Pseudomonadota; Betaproteobacteria
Description: bacterial SSU rRNA
Rfam family: Bacterial small subunit ribosomal RNA
Source: RNAcentral